UACGUAGGGGGCAAGCGUUGUCCGGAAUCAUUGGGCGUAAAGCGCACGUCGGCGGCCCGGUAAGUCCGUUGUGAAAGUCAGAGGCUCAACCUCUGGAGGCCAAUGGAUACUGCCGGGCUAGAGUCCGGAAGAGGCGAGUGGAAUUCCUGGUGUAGCGGUGGAAUGCGCAGAUAUCAGGAGGAACACCAAUGGCGAAGGCAGCUCGCUGGGACGGUACUGACGCUGAGGUGCGAAAGCGUGGGGAGCGAACAGG
Molecule: ribosomal RNA, 253 nt
Filed under: uncultured bacterium
Lineage: Bacteria
Description: partial 16S ribosomal RNA
Rfam family: Bacterial small subunit ribosomal RNA
Source: RNAcentral